This is a non-coding RNA of Phrynosoma platyrhinos (Desert horned lizard), 72 nucleotides long. Lineage: Eukaryota; Metazoa; Chordata; Lepidosauria; Squamata; Phrynosomatidae. The record is from the annotation of a GenBank genome assembly.
GCCAACAUGGCAUAGUGGUUUGAGUGUUGGACUUCAACUCUAGAGACCAGGGUUCGAUUCCCAGCUCAGCCG